GGCGGAACAGAUCUACUAAUUCUUUUAUUCCAGUUAGUAAGAGGGAUCUUGAACUAAGAAAUAGACCUAGCAGCUAAAAGAGGGUAUCCUGAGCAAUUGCAAGCAUGGGGUUCAUUGAUAUUCCUGAUCGGACGAGCACA
This is a long non-coding RNA of Triticum aestivum (bread wheat), 140 nucleotides long. RefSeq lists it as uncharacterized. The transcript is spliced from 3 exons. NCBI's taxonomy places the organism in Eukaryota, Viridiplantae, Streptophyta, Magnoliopsida, Poales, Poaceae. The record is from RefSeq and is a predicted model, not a curated record.